UGGGGAAUUUUGGACAAUGGGCGAAAGCCUGAUCCAGCAAUGCCGCGUGUGUGAAGAAGGCCUUCGGGUUGUAAAGCACUUUUGUCCGGAAAGAAAUCCUUGGCUCUAAUACAGUCGGGGGAUGACGGUACCGGAAGAAUAAGCACCGGCUAACUACGUGCCAGCAGCCGCGGUAAUACGUAGGGUGCAAGCGUUAAUCGGAAUUACUGGGCGUAAAGCGUGCGCAGGCGGUUUGCUAAGACCGAUGUGAAAUCCCCGGGCUCAACCUGGGAACUGCAUUGGUGACUGGCAGGCUAGAGUAUGGCAGAGGGGGGUAGAAUUCCACGUGUAGCAGUGAAAUGCGUAGAGAUGUGGAGGAAUACCGAUGGCGAAGGCAGCCCCCCUGGGGCCAAAUACUGACGCUCAUGCACGAAAGCGUGGGGAGCAAACAGGAUUAGAUACCCUGGUAGUCCACGCCCUAAACGAUGUCAACUAGUUGUGGGGAUUCAUUUCCUAGUAACGUAGCUAACGCGUGAAGUUGACCGCCUGGGGAGUACGGUCGCAAGAUUAAAACUCAAAGGAAUUGACGGGGU
Molecule: ribosomal RNA, 572 nt
Filed under: uncultured bacterium
Lineage: Bacteria
Description: partial 16S ribosomal RNA
Rfam family: Bacterial small subunit ribosomal RNA
Source: RNAcentral